Molecule: RNA transcript, 3645 nt
Organism: Quercus robur (English oak)
Lineage: Eukaryota; Viridiplantae; Streptophyta; Magnoliopsida; Fagales; Fagaceae
Gene name: pentatricopeptide repeat-containing protein DOT4, chloroplastic
Exons: 2
Source: RefSeq, a predicted model, not a curated record
CUUAAAUUGUUGGGUUUUUUUUCCUAGUUGGGAAUUUCUCGCGCUCCUCAAAUUUCAGGGACAUAGCUGAAAAUGUUGAUCACAGCCAAUACCACACCAAUCUUCUGGGUUUCUCUCCCUAACCAUAAUAAUCCUAAAGAAAACCGUGUCAUGUCCCAAAAUGGUUUCAUUUUCUGUAAACCAUUUUCAACGACCACUCUAUCAUCUACAAAUUGGUAUGGUUCUUGUACUACAACCCGUGCCUCAGCCUCACUCACCAAAACCACCAUUCAUGAAGUUACAGACGUAGAUGCCAAAAUUUGUAAAUUCUAUGAAGCGGGUAACUUGAAAAACGCCAUGAAAUUGCUUAGUGUGUCUCAAAAAUCCGAGCUUGAGACCAAUACAUAUUGUUCAGUUUUGCAGCUCUGUGCUGAACUUAAAUCGCUAGAAGAUGGUAAAAAGGUUCACUCGAUGAUAUGUUCUAAUGGGUUAGUGGUUGAUGGAGUUUUGGGUUCAAAACUUGUAUUUAUGUAUGUGAAGUGUGGGGAUUUGAGAGAAGGGAGGCGGGUUUUCGAUAAGGUUGCUAAUGAAAAGGUCUUUCUUUGGAAUCUUAUGAUAAAUGAGUACUCAAAGAUUGGUGAUUUUGGGGAAAGUAUAUGUUUGUUCAUGAAGAUGCAGGAGUUGGGUAUUGAAGUGAAUUCUCAUACAUUUUCUAGUGUUUUAAAGUGCUUUGCGGCCUUAGGAAAUAUAGAAGUUGGCCAACAGGUUCAUGGGUAUUUGUUGAGAUUGGGUUUUGGUUGUUAUAACACAGUUGUGAAUUCUCUGAUUGCUUUCUACUUCAAGUGUGGAAGAGUUGAGAGUGCACAAAAGUUGUUCGAUGAAUUGGGUGAUCGAGAUGUUAUAUCUUGGAAUUCUAUGAUAAGUGGGUAUGCAUUGAAUGGUCUUGCAAAGAGGGGAAUUGAGUUUUUCAAAGAGAUGCUAUGUUUGGGUGUUGGCGUAGAUUUGGCAACAAUAGUGAAUGUUCUUGUGGCUUGUGCAAGUAUUGGAACUCUUUUGGUCGGUAGAGCAGUUCAUGCUUUUGCAAUAAAAUCUUGUUUUGAUGGAGAACUCAUGUUCAACAAUACUUUGCUGGACAUGUAUUCAAAAUGUGGUGAUUUGGAUGCUGCAACUCAAGUUUUUGAGAAGAUGGGCAAAAGAAGUGUAGUGUCGUGGACUUCAAUGAUGGCAGGUUUUGUCCGAGAAGGUUUAUCUGAUGGGGCAAUAAGAUUAUUCAGUGAAAUGGAAAGGAAAGGUGUUAGCCCUGAUCUUUUUACCAUCACAAGCGUCCUUCACGCUUGUGCUUGUAAUGGCUCUUUGGAGAGUGGCAGGGAUGUACACACUUAUAUACAGGAAAAGAAAAUGGACUCUAGUUUGUUUGUCUCUAAUGCUCUCAUGGAUAUGUAUGCAAAAUGUGGAAGCAUGGAAGAUGCUUACUCUAUUUUUUCUCAGAUGCAAGUAAAGGAUAUUAUCUCAUGGAAUACCAUGAUUGGGGGCUACUCAAAGAACUGUCUUCCCAAUGAAGCUCUUAAUUUGUUUGUUGAGAUGCAACGAGUAAUAAAACCCAACAGCAUAACAAUGGCCUGUAUCCUUCCAGCCUGUGCCAGCUUAGCAGCUCUAGAAAGAGGACGAGAGAUUCAUGGAUACGUUUUGAGAAAUGGAUUUUUUUCAGAUCAUUAUGUCAGUAAUGCACUUGUUGACAUGUAUGUGAAGUGUGGGGUGCUAGUUCUUGCACGUUUACUCUUUGACAUGACUCCUUCAAAGGAUCUUAUCUCAUGGACAGUAAUGAUUGCUGGAUAUGGCAUGCACGGGUUUGGAAGUGAAGCUAUUGCUACCUUUAAUGCAAUGAGAAAUGAAGGUGUUGAGCCUGAUGAAGUUACCUUCAUUUCUAUACUUUAUGCAUGCAGUCAUUCUGGAUUACUUUCUGAAGGAUGGAGGUUUUUUCAUAUAAUGAGAAAUGAAUGCAAUUUUGAGCCCAAGUUGGAGCAUUAUGCUUGUAUGGUGGAUCUUCUCGCUCGCGUUGGGAAGCUAUCGAAGGCAUAUAAAUUCAUUGAAACGAUGCCAAUAAAACCAGAUGCCACAAUUUGGGGUGCCUUGCUCUGUGGGUGCAGGAUCCACCAUGAUGUAAAACUAGCAGAGAAAGUCUCAGAACGUGUUUUUGAACUGGAGCCAGAGAACACAGGAUAUUAUGUACUUUUAGCGAAUAUCUAUGCUGAGGCAGAGAAGUGGGAAAAAGUUAAAAUUUUGCGGGAGAAGAUUGGUCGGCGAGGAUUGAAAAAGAACCCAGGGUGUAGCUGGAUAGAGAUCAGAGGCAAAGUUUAUGUAUUUGUGGCUGGUGAUAGUUCACACCCACAAACCAAGAAGAUAGAGUCACUAUUGAAGAGAUUAAGAAUGGAGAUGAGGGAAGAAGGUUACUUUCCUAAGACAAGAUAUGCUUUGAUUAAUGCAGAUGAUAUGGAGAAGGAAGUGGCUCUCUGUGGGCACAGUGAAAAGUUAGCCAUGGCUUUUGGAAUAUUGAGCCUGCCUUAUGGCAAAACCAUACGUGUGACCAAGAAUCUGAGAGUAUGUGGUGAUUGUCAUGAGAUGGCCAAGUUCAUGUCAAAGUCAGCUAGCAGGGAGAUUGUCUUGAGAGAUUCCAAUCGCUUUCACCAUUUCAAGGAUGGCAACUGUUCUUGCAGAGGUUUCUGGUGAAUCAAGGGUGAGUAGGGGUUUGAAUGUAAAGGAGUUAUUAUCUUAAAAGAGUUGCAAAUCAAGUUGAUUCUUAAGAAAUGAUUCAUAAGUUGUUGUAAAAUGGUUUGUUGACUGAGACAAACAUGCUUGGAUGAGGACUUAUGGUUAAGAUCUCUUAUACAUAUUGGGUCACUUAAACAAAGACAUAAUUCACAGUUCAAACAUUGUGAUUGCACUUCUACAUAGAGGCUCCCUAUAUGUCUCUUUACAGCCUGGAGGAGUUUAUGAAUCACGAUGUCUCGCGUGAAUGGAAUUUUCUUGAAGAAUCCUUCUUUUGAUGGCUUUGUAUAUGGUCAACAUGCAGGUUUUGUCUUGCAUUGGGUACCAUUACCAAAGCGAGGAUGAUCGAUCUCUCUGGAAGAAAGCGUUGAUUGUGUCCUUAGGAAUUCUUUUUCCCUGCUGGGGAGUUGAAAAAAAUUGAAUUCCCCAUCUUUAUAAUUGGAAGGAUGGGAAUUAUUAAAUGUGGAGCUGCAUAAAAGAUUUCCAAAGUAGUUACUACCAACUUUGGAGGAGUCCUGAAAAAUCUUCUAGGAUGUAGAAAAUGACGUUUUAACACUGAUAAAAGCACGAAACUUUCUGCAUAUGAUUUAUUAUCAUAGGAAGGCCCAUGUAAACAGUUCACUUGGAAUCAUUCUUGUAUUGUCUCUAAAGGCAUGUUUUAGUAAUUUGGCUUCCACUUGCUUCUUUUCUCACUUUUUUUACUGCUCUUGUCCAUCACAAGCCUUGGGAAACUGCUAAGCGUUGCAGGCCCACCAACGCAGACAGCAGACAGGUCAAUGUGAUGGGCCAGUCCUUGAAUAUGUACGAUAAGAUCUAAUAUUCCAGGGUUCAGACAAUUUUAUAUUGUAUGGUUAUAUUUUCAUUGUUUUAAUAUAGUAUAAGGUUUGGACCACUAUGACA